Molecule: ribosomal RNA, 253 nt
Filed under: uncultured bacterium
Lineage: Bacteria
Description: partial 16S ribosomal RNA
Rfam family: Bacterial small subunit ribosomal RNA
Source: RNAcentral
UACGAAGGGUGCAAGCGUUACUCGGAAUUACUGGGCGUAAAGCGUGCGUAGGUGGUUCGUUAAGUCUGAUGUGAAAGCCCUGGGCUCAACCUGGGAAUGGCAUUGGAAACUACCAAGCUGGAGUACGGUAGGGGCAGGGGGAAUUUCCGGUGGAGCGGUGAAAUGCGUAGAGAUCGGGAGGAACACCAGUGGCGAAGGCGAUCUUCUGGACGGAUACUGACGCUGAGGCGCGAAAGCUAGGGGAGCAAACGGG